Molecule: long non-coding RNA, 814 nt
Organism: Pan paniscus (pygmy chimpanzee)
Lineage: Eukaryota; Metazoa; Chordata; Mammalia; Primates; Hominidae
Source: Ensembl
UUAUCCUAUUAAAUUCUUUAUCUUUCUGUGUGUCCUCAGUGGAGAUAUUUUUCCCUCCCUAUAGCUAAUCAGCUUCCUUCAAAUUGGAUUUCGUAGUGAUAUGGAUCUGUUCACAGUCUUAUGGAGGCUGAUGCUGGCAUUUGAAUGCAGUUCCUCGAGGCUUUCCGAUGAGCUAAGCAUUUUAAAAUAAAUCUUUGGUGGAAUGGAGUCAACGUCCCCACCUCAAAAGGAACCCAACAGGCAACUGGAUUCUGAUGUCAGAUUCCAACCAACUAACAAAGAUGAGAAAGGUGACCCAUAUGGUGGAGAAGGCUUACUGUGUGACAACUGCUUUGUCCUCAAGAGACAACUCUGCCUUUCCAUCAGAAUGCUUCUUUACACAAGACCCAAGGGUGUAGCCAAGAUGAGAAGUAUGUACGCAGGAGUGAAAGAAGUUGAUGUGUUCUACUGGGGAUCUGUCGGGUUUGAGGAGCCAAUGGGACAGUCAAGUAUACAUGAACAACAGACAACUGGAAGUGAGGAAUUGAGACACAGCUACAGCCAGAAUCCACUGGGGGAGUAGCGGUCAUUAAGGUCCUCAAAGAUGAGAUCAAAAAGAACACAUAGUUGUAUAUUUCAUCUAUCCUUACAAACAAAUUUCAAACAGGAGCCACAGAAAUUGCUUCUCCCUAAGCAGAACUUUUCUUCCAAGUGGAGAGCAGGUGAAUUUUACCAAAAUAAAUGGAUCUUCAAAUAAAAACAGAAUUAUUGGUCUUGCAGAAUUUGAAACAUCAUUCAUCUUAUUUUGUAUUUUGUUUUUUUUUAUUUCCUGUAA